UGUAAGCGUAUACCAAAGUUGUUGCAGUUAAAACGCUCGUAGUCGGAAUUUGGCAGUUCCGGAUGUGUGCACGUCGUGUGCGCACUUCGCGGGGAUUGCUUUUGUGGUCUUGCGUAGGAUGAGGCACUUUUAUUAGUGAACGUCCUCACGCAACCACUUUUUACUGUGAGAAAAUCAGAGUGCUCAAAGCAGGCAUUUGCCGUGAAUGUAUUAGCAUGGAAUAAUAGAAUAGGACUUGGUUCUAUUUUGUUGGUUUGUUGGGACUAAGUAAUGAUUAAGAGGGACAGUUGGGGGCAUUUGUAUUUCGGUGCUAGAGGUGAAAUUCUUAGAUUACCGAAAGACAAACUGCUGCGAAAGCGUCUGCCAAGGAUGUUUUCAUUGA
This 382-nucleotide ribosomal RNA is filed under the name uncultured eukaryote. Its description in RNAcentral is "partial 18S ribosomal RNA". It matches the Rfam family "Eukaryotic small subunit ribosomal RNA", at positions 592 to 976 of the family's 1831-position model. The record is from RNAcentral.